Non-coding RNA from Pelobates cultripes (western spadefoot toad), 245 nucleotides. The record is from the annotation of a GenBank genome assembly. NCBI's taxonomy places the organism in Eukaryota, Metazoa, Chordata, Amphibia, Anura, Pelobatidae.
GAGUGGUUUGUAUACUGUGGAGAGUGGUUUGUAUACUGUGGAGAGUGGUUUGUUUUUUAUUUUUGUUUUUUUAAAUUUACUUUUUUUUUUUUUUUUUUUUUGUGUUCUGGUUUUCCCCCCCUUUUUUGUGUGCUGCUGCUUGAUUGAUUGGGGGAGUGUUUAUUAAUUACACCUGUGUGGGAUUUGUAUCCCCAUAAAGGCACACCCCUAACUCACUGAGCUUGCUCACAUUAUUUGAAAGCAGC